Molecule: non-coding RNA, 29 nt
Filed under: Mus musculus (house mouse)
Lineage: Eukaryota; Metazoa; Chordata; Mammalia; Rodentia; Muridae
Source: RNAcentral
UACUUACAUUUUGAGUUUGUGUUCACCUC